This 492-nucleotide ribosomal RNA is filed under the name uncultured bacterium. Its description in RNAcentral is "partial 16S ribosomal RNA". It matches the Rfam family "Bacterial small subunit ribosomal RNA", at positions 29 to 507 of the family's 1533-position model. The record is from RNAcentral.
AGUGAACGCUGGCGGUAGGCCUAACACAUGCAAGUCGAACGGCAGCACAGUAAGAGCUUGCUCUUACGGGUGGCGAGUGGCGGACGGGCGAGGAAUACAUCGGAAUCUACUCUUUCGUGGGGGAUAACGUAGGGAAACUUACGCUAAUACCGCAUACGACCUACGGGUGAAAGCAGGGGAUCUUCGGACCUUGCGCGAUUGAAUGAGCCGAUGUCGGAUUAGCUAGUUGGCGGGGUAAAGGCCCACCAAGGCGACGAUCCGUAGCUGGUCUGAGAGGAUGAUCAGCCACACUGGAACUGAGACACGGUCCAGACUCCUACGGGAGGCAGCAGUGGGGAAUAUUGGACAAUGGGCGCAAGCCUGAUCCAGCCAUACCGCGUGGGUGAAGAAGGCCUUCGGGUUGUAAAGCCCUUUUGUUGGGAAAGAAAAGCAGCAGGUUAAUACCCCGCUGUUCUGACGGUACCCAAAGAAUAAGCACCGGCUAACUUCGUG